RNAcentral lists this ribosomal RNA (249 nucleotides) under Triticum aestivum (bread wheat). RNAcentral's name for it is "partial small subunit ribosomal RNA". The record is from RNAcentral. Lineage: Eukaryota; Viridiplantae; Streptophyta; Magnoliopsida; Poales; Poaceae.
AUGCAGAUGGUAUCGGGUGGCCAUACUACUGUAUUGGUGAAUGGGCAUAUUAGUAAAUUUUUUGCCAAUGGCAGAGGCCUUCGUCAAGGGGACCCUGCCUCCCCUGUUCUUUUUAACUUUGUGGUCGAUGCCUUUUCUUGCAUUCUCGCUAGGGCGGCCCAGUGUGGUCAUAUCAUUCCAGUGGUCUCCCAUUUACUCCCGGAGGGGGUCUCUCACUUGCAGUACACCGAUGACACGAUUAUUAUGGUU